UACGAAGGGGGCUAGCGUUGCUCGGAAUCACUGGGCGUAAAGCGUACGUAGGCGGAUCUUUAAGUCAGGGGUGAAAUCCUGGAGCUCAACUCCAGAACUGCCUUUGAUACUGGGGAUCUCGAGUCCGGAAGAGGUGAGUGGAACUCCGAGUGUAGAGGUGAAAUUCGUAGAUAUUCGGAAGAACACCAGUGGCGAAGGCGGCUCACUGGUCCGGUACUGACGCUGAGGUGCGAAAGCGUGGGGAGCAAACAGG
RNAcentral lists this ribosomal RNA (253 nucleotides) under uncultured bacterium. RNAcentral describes it as "partial 16S ribosomal RNA". It matches the Rfam family "Bacterial small subunit ribosomal RNA", at positions 524 to 776 of the family's 1533-position model. The record is from RNAcentral.